GGUGGCUCAGUGGUAGAGUGCUUGCCUUGCAUGCAUAAGGCCCUGGGUUCGAUUCCCUAGCACCA
This 65-nucleotide transfer RNA is filed under the name Dipodomys ordii (Ord's kangaroo rat). It matches the Rfam family "tRNA". From Rfam's summary of the family: Transfer RNA (tRNA) molecules are approximately 80 nucleotides in length. Their secondary structure includes four short double-helical elements and three loops (D, anti-codon, and T loops). The record is from Rfam by way of RNAcentral. Lineage: Eukaryota; Metazoa; Chordata; Mammalia; Rodentia; Heteromyidae.